AAAAAAUUUUUAUAGUUUUAAUAUUUUAUUUUAAAUAUAAUUUACAUACAAAUUUUAGUGUUAAAUUUUGUUUAUUUUAAUAAUAAAAAAUAUUAUAAGGUAGUAAUUAACUUUAAAUUAUUUAAGAAAUUAAGAUUUAAUGAUUUAGAAAUAAAUAACUAAUUUUGUGCCAGCAGUUGCGGUUAUACAAAAAUUUAAUUAAAAUUUUUCAGUAUAUAUUAAAUAAAUUUAAAUUUAAAUUAAAAAUUAAAUUAUUAAGUGAAAUUUUAAUUUAAUAAAAAUUUAAAAAAUUGUAUGAAUUAAUAAAUUUAUAUAAAAACUAGGAUUAGAUACCCUAUUAUUAAAAUAAAUAAAAUUUAUACUAAAAUAGUAAAUAAUAGUUUAUUGAAACUUAAAUAAUUUGGCGGUAUUUUAGUUCAUUUAGAGGAAUCUGUCUAAUAAUUGAUAAUCCACGAUUAAAUUUACUUAAUUUAAAAUUUUAUAUAUCGUUGUUAAAAAAAUAUUUUAAGAUAAAAAUAAUAUUUAAAAAUUAUAAUUAAAAAUUAAUUCAGAUCAAGAUGUAGAUUAUAAUUAAGAAUAUGAUGGAUUACAAUAAAUUUAUUUAAAUGAAUUUUUUUUUAUUAUAAAAUAGAAAUGAAAUUGGAUUUAAAUGUAAUUUUAUUUAAUAUAAUAAAAUGAUUUUAAAUUGAAAUAUGUACAUAUUGCCCGUCGCUUUCAUUUUAAAAUUGGAAUAAGUCGUAACAAAGUAGAAGUACUGGAAAGUGUUUCUAGAAU
This 774-nucleotide non-coding RNA is filed under the name Albulina orbitula. The record is from RNAcentral. Lineage: Eukaryota; Metazoa; Arthropoda; Insecta; Lepidoptera; Lycaenidae.